AGUUAUUGAUCUACAAGGUGAGUAAGAGUUUAUUGAUAAUAUAUUAAUAAUUCCUCUUACUCACCUUGUAGAUCAAUAA
This 79-nucleotide microRNA precursor is filed under the name Phlebotomus papatasi. Lineage: Eukaryota; Metazoa; Arthropoda; Insecta; Diptera; Psychodidae. The record is from RNAcentral.